UCCACGAAGCCCCAAAGGCUGGAGCCCAGGUC
RNAcentral lists this non-coding RNA (32 nucleotides) under Homo sapiens (human). The record is from RNAcentral. Lineage: Eukaryota; Metazoa; Chordata; Mammalia; Primates; Hominidae.